CAUAUAUUAGAAAAAUAAAAUAAAAUUAUAAAAAUAUGUGUAUUGUACAUCUUUCCAGAUUGCAGGAGAUUCUGCUUUUGUUUUUUCUUAAAUGAAAGUAAAAUGCAACAUAUAUAUGGUUUAAGACAUUAUACAAAUAAGAUUGACUUUAAGAAGAAAACAAUCCUGUAAUUCAAGUUGCAAUAUAAAUCUAUAAAUUGAAGAAAAUGAGCAGUAAUCCAAGUGCAAAAAUUUCUCUGAGUGAUUUUUCGGAAAGCAAUACACCUGAGCACAUGGCAUUUAGCAAAAUUUUAGGGAAGUCUAUCCUGGUUAGCCCUAAUGAGGAACAAUAUGAAUUGUUAUUAACCAGAUUGAAGCAACAGUUAGAGAGCGGAAGAGGCGAAGUAAUUCUAGAGAUUGGUGGUUGUGAAGAUGGUUCCGAUAUUUGUUUGAAUGAAGAGGAAAAGAAUGCAGCUGUUGCUACAUUGCAAUCUUUGGCAACCAGUUUACAUUGUAGUUGUGUGUUAUUGAGAGAACGUAAAGAUAUUUCUGGUAUUGUUGCUCAGUACCUAAUAAGGAAACUGUUAGAUCCUAGCGGUAAGUAAAUUAUUAAUUUUCCUAC
Molecule: long non-coding RNA, 601 nt
Filed under: Agrilus planipennis (emerald ash borer)
Lineage: Eukaryota; Metazoa; Arthropoda; Insecta; Coleoptera; Buprestidae
Description: uncharacterized LOC112904664, transcript variant X2
Source: RNAcentral